GAUGAACGCUAGCGGCAGGCUUAAUACAUGCAAGUCGAGGGGCAGCACGUCCCGCAGCAAUGCGGGAUGGUGGCGACCGGCAAACGGGUGCGGAACACGUACGCAACCUUCCCUUUAAGUGGAGAAUAGCCCGGGGAAACCCGGAUUAAUACUCCGUAACAUUAUAAAGUGGCAUCACUUUAUAAUUAUAGAUUCAUCGCUUAAAGAUGGGCGUGCGCCUGAUUAGGUAGUUGGCGGAGUAAUAGCCCACCAAGCCUGCGAUCAGUAACUGGUGUGAGAGCACGACCAGUCACACGGGCACUGAGACACGGGCCCGACUCCUACGGGAGGCAGCAGUAAGGAAU
RNAcentral lists this ribosomal RNA (344 nucleotides) under uncultured bacterium. RNAcentral describes it as "bacterial SSU rRNA". It matches the Rfam family "Bacterial small subunit ribosomal RNA", at positions 28 to 362 of the family's 1533-position model. The record is from RNAcentral.